This 72-nucleotide transfer RNA is filed under the name Camelus bactrianus (Bactrian camel). It matches the Rfam family "tRNA". From Rfam's summary of the family: Transfer RNA (tRNA) molecules are approximately 80 nucleotides in length. Their secondary structure includes four short double-helical elements and three loops (D, anti-codon, and T loops). Lineage: Eukaryota; Metazoa; Chordata; Mammalia; Artiodactyla; Camelidae. The record is from Rfam by way of RNAcentral. RNAcentral also lists the same sequence under 3 other names.
GAGGGUAGAGCUCAGUGGUAGAGCAUGUGCUUAGCAAACACAAGGUCCUAAGUUCAAUCUCCAGUACCUCCA